AUCGGAUUUACUGGGCGUAAAGCGUGCGUAGGCGGCUUCUUAAGUCGGGAUGUGAAAUCCCUGAGCUUAACUUAGGAAUUGCAUUCGAUACUGGGAAGCUAGAGUAUGGGAGAGGAUGGUAGAAUUCCAGGUGUAGCGGUGAAAUGCGUAGAGAUCUGGAGGAAUACCGAUGGCGAAGGCAGCCAUCUGGCCUAAUACUGACGCUGAGGUACGAAAGCAUGGGGAACAAACAGGAUUAGAUACCCUGGUAGUCCAUGCCGUAAACGAUGUCUACUAGCCGUUGGGGCCUUUGAGGCUUUAGUGGCGCAGCUAACGCGAUAAGUAGACCGCCUGGGGAGUACGGUCGCAAGACUAAAACUCAAAUGAAUUGACGGGGGCCCGCACAAGCGGUGGAGCAUGUGGUUUAAUUCGAUGCAACGCGAAGAACCUUACCUGGUCUUGACAUAGUAAGAACUUUCCAGAGAUGGAUUGGUGCCUUCGGGAACUUACAUACAGGUGCUGCAUGGCUGUCGUCAGCUCGUGUCGUGAGAUGUUGGGUUAAGUCCCGCAACGAGCGCAACCCUUUUCCUUAUUUGCCAGCGAGUAAUGUCGGGAACUUUAAGGAUACUGCCAGUGACAAACUGGAGGAAGGCGGGGACGACGUCAAGUCAUCAUGGCCCUUACGACCAGGGCUACACACGUGCUACAAUGGUCGGUACAAAGGGUUGCUACCUAGCGAUAGGAUGCUAAUCUCAAAAAGCCGAUCGUAGUCCGGAUUGGAGUCUGCAACUCGACUCCAUGAAGUCGGAAUCGCUAGCAAUCGCGGAUCAGAAUGCCGCGGUGAAUACGUUCCCGGGCCUUGUACACACCGCCCANCAAUAC
RNAcentral lists this ribosomal RNA (861 nucleotides) under uncultured bacterium. RNAcentral's name for it is "bacterial SSU rRNA". It matches the Rfam family "Bacterial small subunit ribosomal RNA", at positions 544 to 1403 of the family's 1533-position model. The record is from RNAcentral.